GUCUCACUCAGUCAAUCCAAGUUGCGACAGAUUGUGACUAACGCGUGUCCAAGUCUUCAAAGUCUAAAGUUGAGUCGCAACGGUCGCAUUAUAUCUCCUGUUUGUUGCUUGAAACAACUAACCAAGGAAUAUUUUGUGUGAAAGAGAAUGGAUUAUCAUAAGAAGAGACGCAAGAAACUGAAGUCCUGUCAAGAUAACAUGUGAAGUAAGGAGUUUGGCGAAAGUUGUAUCUUACAGUUUUUAUCAGUCUUUGCAUACCACCCUUUAGGCAUCAUGCGUAAGAAUAUGGAUCAUGAUGUAAACUGAGAGGGCUACAUCCAAAUUAUCUAGCCAUGGCUGAAUCUGUGAAUAAGGAGGUAAAGGAACCCAGCUCUAUGGAGGACAGCAGUGCUGGGUAUGAGACGUCCGAAGGGGAAUGUCUGGAAGAAGAAACCAGCGACGUCUAUGCUCAGCUGGCUCACAAAGAACGUGACCUGAUCUUGGCUGCUGAAUUGGGGAAGGCUCUGCUGGACUCAAAUCAAGAGCUGCAGACUCGCUAUGAUCAGAUGGUUGAGGAUUUCUCUCGAAAGAUAGAGAUUUUACAGCAAGAGAAGUAUGACCUUCAUCUGGAGCUUGAGAAGGCAGGUACCCAACACCAGAACACUGUGAAAGACUUGCAAGAUGACGUGGCCUCAUUGCGGAAACAACUUCGCAACUCUGAUCAGAUUGAGUCGAGUGAAAGAGAAAGGUCAAGGUCACUGCGUGAAGCUCAACAGAAUACGGAUUACCUGAUGGAGCAGAUGCGCCAGGUCUCGGCCAAAGAGGAAGAGCUUCAGAAAGAACUGAGUAGGCAGAAAGAGCAGAAUGAGACAAGUGUGGCCACAAUACAGGAUCAGAUUGACCAUAUUGCUAUGUUGAGAGAGCAGGUGGAGUAUCUCAGUGAAAAGCUGAGGGAGGCAAAUCAAAAAAUGAUUGACAUGGAAGGAGAACGAGACUCACUGACAAACGCUCUGGAGGCAGCGCAUGAGAAGUUACAGGCUUUAGAACUAGAGUUGGCUUCACGGGAUGAGCAGAUUCUAAAGCAAAACCAUGAGGUGGAAGAACUUCAAGAAUCAAAUUCGGAACUUCAAGAACAAUUGCGGCGAAGAAAUCAAAUUCAGUACCACUACUCACCAUAUCCAAACAUUGCUUUCACCCAAGGUCAUGGGAAUGUAAGAAGCUUUGACAGACCAGCUGCCCAAGCAAACCAUAAUGAUCUCAGCAAAAAUCAGAGGAACAGCCAGAAUGUUCCAUCUCUAAUCUCUCAGAAUCUCCCCCCAGAACCAGCCACAUUCCAUGGUGGUCAUCAAAAGACCAAAGGAUCACCAGAGGAUAUAGAGUGCAGUAAUACUUCCCCCCCGUCUGAUCCAUCUGCCGAAAAUUCAAAUGUUGACCAGAGAAUGAAUGAAAAGUCUUUGCUGGCGGAGUUCAAUGAUUCCUGCCCCGAGCUUGGGAAUGAUGAAAGUCCUCCUUUGCUGUCACAUCUUUCGAUAGCCACAGAAUCCUCAUUGCCUCUUCGCCAUCGCAGAAAUAUUAGCGACGGCAGCAUAUCGUCCAUGACGGAAGGGUCUCGCAAGCGGCACCAUCAGAAUAUCGGAGGAGAUAGUGAUGAUGAAGAUGUAAACAGAGCAGGAGAUAAGACUGGACCCAGCAGUGGCUGCAAGCAAACUCUUUACUCUAAAUCUAUCACAAAGCAUCAAAUGCCACAGAAAAUGGUGUCGGAAAAGUCUCGUGUCAUUCUCAGCUCUUACUCAGAAAAUAACAGUGAAGUUUGUCAGCCAGCAGUAAAGAAAGAGAAGGACCAAACUCUGUCAUCUGUGGCUAUUUCUCAGGAAGAAAAUCUGUGCAAGGCCCUCAUAGCCAGUGAGGAAGCUGCCACUGUGUUAGUUGUUGGUCCGCCUCUAUCAUCUGGGCCUACAUUUCAGGUGAAAGACGUCAUCCAACGCAGUUUAUCUCUUCCGACAGACGAAUUCUCCGAGCCUGAUGGGGAGUGUGGAAUGAUUACAAGCCCCGAUUCAAACGAGAAGUCGUUACUCUCUGAACUGUCCUCUCACAUUCUCGACUCAGGCUCAUACAGUUCGUGUCCACCAGAACAGUCUCUGUUUUCUGAGCUUUCCUCUCAACUGAUGGAAGACAAAAAUGGCGGGAGCUGCUCGGACUCGUCAUCCACGUGCAUGAUGGGAGUGUUUGACUUCUCCUCCGGACAGGAGGGCCAUGACAAUGAGCAAGGAUCAGAAGAUCUGUUUACUGAUUCUCACUCAGGAAGACCUACCAGACAUGAGAUGGAUGUCUGGCAUAACACGACCUGCGUGGCAGCGGACUUGUUGGAUGAAGAUGACUUUGAGUGUGACGACGAUGACUUUCUCGUUGGGAACUUGGCCGGGACCACCUUGUCUAUCGGUGAUAGCGGACACCGUACCUUACAUUAUCAGUACCAUUGCUAUGGUGUGGAGGAGGCCGAGACUGACAGUCGAACCGAUGCUUUGUAUCGGGAUGAUGCGUCUUCCAAGUGGAAAGCAAUGAGACAACCUGGGGCCAGGGACUCACAGCAGGAGAAAAUUUCCCUGGCCUGUGUUCAGUUACGGGAACUGGUACAGAAGGUGCAGGGCCAUCCAGCUCCAUCACCACAGCCUGCUGCUGCUACUAAGGGCCCUGAGGCCGUGACCCCUGACGACCUUCUUGACCUCAUCGAACAGAUGAGACUCUGCAUUGACCGAAUGCCCGUCAUGCAGGCUGACAGUGCUGAGCAACAAGGUACCACCAGCUGUAAUGCACAGAGUAUCAGUGGAGAGGAAGGGUCGGCGAAAGGUCAAGAGCGGGGUGUGGGUCAAGAUGUGCAGAUCUCCCAGAAAAGUGCUCAGAUGAGAAAGUCAAAAUCCUCCUCUUCCCUUCACCUAAGGAUGUCUCUUUAAAGGGGACAUUGCAGCUUGUUGUGCCAGUGUUGAGAGGGAACAAACAACGGUUGUGCAAUUGUGGAGUGGGAACAUAGAAAGAACAGUUGUAUUUAAGCACAGAGUGGGAAUUUUUAAAAAAACUGUUGUGUGUUUAGUGGGAACAAAGAAAGAACUGUUGUGACAGUAUAGAGUGGGAAUUUAUUUUUUAAAAACAGUUGAAACAUGAAAGAACAGAUGUCAGUCUAUCAUAGGAACAAAGAAAGCACUGUUAUGUCAGUGUGUGGUAGGAACGAAGACCGGUUGGGUCUGUGUGAAGUGGGUUGUGCUUUACUUUUACCAAUAGCUGUAGAGCAGUGGAAAGGGUAAGGUGGGAGGCGGAACAUAGUAACCGAUGUUUUACUUGGGUAAAUAGUGCUUUGUUAUGGGAUUGGUGAGUUCGUUUUGAGAUGAAAUUGAUUAUGUGUGAAGCUCUGCGAUGUGUUAUAGCCACUGUGGAAGUUUCUGGAGGGUUCAGAUUCUGAAGAAAAGGCAUGUAGGACUUACAGUUCCCUGGCGUCGGUCAAAAGAUGGAUGGCUUUUCCUGCCACCUUGACUGUAUGUUUUCAGCCAAGGAAUUAAAAUCAAGGUUGCAAAGCUACAGCAUGGGUUUUUUUUCCUCCCCAUUCCUUUUCUCUGGUCCCCUGGGAAUUUUUUUUUUUUUUUAAACAUCAGCAACCACGGGUCUAUUAGAUGUCACAGAGGCAAGAGAUACAAGGAUACAUGUGACAGAUUAUGGUGUUUAGGUUCAGUGGACCGGAUUCUUUUUUGGUCAUGAUCAUUCGUGGCAAAGCCACCAUGUGCUUCCAGUGCUAUUUCAAAAUUCUGUCAGAAUUUCCGGAUUUCCGACUGCUUUGUUGUGUAAAUGACCCCCUGUGUUCUUGCCAUGUGAGCCUUUUUCUCCCCCCCCCCCCCCCCCCCCCACUAAUUGGUCAACAUUGUGCUUCAUUCACGUUCACUCCUGCUGCUGAUGCCCUCAGCAUUUUCUCCAUGUAGUAUGCUUGGCCUUAUGGUUGUACAGCUCCUGUGAAUAUAUUUAUAUAUCAUGUAUAGUCACACUUACUGUUAUAUGUUUCGAAUGUACGCAUAAAGAAACUGGGGUAUUAGAGACCUUUUAAGGAACUAUGGCAGUAUUCCAGAAUUUUAAAAAGAGGUAGACACACUGGCAUUUAUAUUGAAUUGUUGUUGUUGUUUGAUGUUUUCAAAUCUCUUUAGCUGCGAGCAUUUCGCUCAUGGCAGCGCAAUGCCCCCCUCAAGUAACUACAUGUCCUUGUCAUCUUGUCAACGCCAGUUUUUAUUGAGUAAAACGUGUUAUAAUUGAAGACGUUUUUCUUUUUUCAAUUAAAAAACUUUUAGUCACAUAUUAUUUCAAUUUUGGAUUGUAAUGCUGAGUUUGCAACAGACAUAAAUGAUUACACUGUAUGAUCGUAUUCUGUGGUAGACUUUAUUUGCCGUAAUUGGAGACAGUAAGUAUUUUUCCCUUCAAAAUGCUUUAACUCCUUUGUGAUUCUACACGAUAGAAUUCUGAUCUGUAACUGCAUAAUUGUAUUCUCACUCUUCACUUGUUGUCUCAGGUAGGCUUCAUCCCCAUCAUCAUGACGAUCUUUGUAAGAUGUCAUGUACCAGGGUUGGCAUCUCUUGAAUUCUUUUAAAAAGAGUCGGGGAAAAGGGUUGGGGGUUUUAUUUGUUGUUGGGUUUUUUUCCUUUUUAAGAGUUUGGCUUAACAUGUAAAGCAUAAAAAGGAGAAAGGAAGAAAAGAGGGGGGGGGGGGGGUUCCCAUCCUUUUCUGUGUUGUGUCUUAUUCUUUGUAUUUGUAAUGAAGAUACAAGUCCCACCUGUGUCAGGGUGAGGAACCUUCCCAUCAGAUGACAACAUGGACUGUGACAUUCAGCAGUCGCGAGCACCAAGCCAGUUCUCUGCAAGCCUUCAACAAGUUCUUCGGUUACUAUAUAAACAGACAGUGCUUCUAUAGCUUGCUAAGCUACAGAUUUUGUGAAAGAAAGACGUGCAAGCUUCGAUACACUUGUGAAAGAAAGAAAGAUGCUGGUGCUGCGUCUUGCCAGACCAUUAUGUUGGUGCUAUUUGUUUAUUUUGAUGAUAACAGUUUGAUGUUGGAGAGAUUUGGUGCUGAUGUUAAUACUGGUUGGGUUUUUAAAGGACAGUUUCCUAGUCGUAUACUGGACAAUUGGGUAGGGGCACACUCCUCGUUGUAAUCAUUUUUUUUUAGAUCAAAUGUUUGGUGUUUGUGUCCGACUUUUUCCAUGUCUUGCGUAGCAGGGCGGAAUGAAGAAUGCCAAAGUUUGUCACACUGCUCUUAACGUGAAGACAGCGCACAGUAGAUAAUUAUUUUUUUUUCUGCAGUCACCAUUCCUGUGUCUUUACGUAUUUUGUUGUUAGCUAGACUUUGUUGCCUUGUUGUUUUUUUACCCAUCACUGACAUUCCCAAAGCCCGGACCAUCCAUGAUGCUGGUUUUUAGCUCUGUUUUUAACUGUUGCCAUCCACUGCUCCUUUUGCCUUCAUAUGUAUUUUGCAAUCAUGUUUUGCUACUCACUAAAUUUUUUGGUAAGUUAUGUUUGGAGGUUGCAGAGGUUUAACUUUUGGUAUAUAGUUUUGGGUGGAUUUUUGUUUUUAAUUGUUUGCCUCUGAGUCUAGAAUUGCUGGGGCAAGUAAAAUGGCACAGUUGAGUACUCACUUUACCUUAUUCUUUGAGAUGUGUUCAUUUUCUGUCGUAACUCACUGACUGCUGGUGUUGGUACCCCAAUUCAACCCUGGCUGCCGGCAUGCAAAGGGUGAUUUAGAACAUUAAUUGUCGGAUGACUUUUCUAGACGAACACUUAUAAUAUAAUUUUUACCAUCUAUAAUUUUUAUGUUGUGUUUUAUUGAGGGGAAAACAGAUUUUCAAUUAGUGUCAUACUUUUUUUAAAAUGAUUAUUUGAAAUAUAUGGACAAAAAUUAAAUCUUGAUUACAUGAGUCAUUGUUGAGGAAGUGCUUGAAGCAGCCUCUAAGGCAUGGAUUUAGGUUUGUUUUUUGUAAACCCUUUUUAACGAAAUAAUUGAGAUCUGAAUAUUCUAAGUCUUUCUUGUGACCAUCUUGUAUGCCAUGUUGAAUAUCAGAACCCACACAAAUGAACAGUUUUACUUUUAGAGGUUGGACGAUAUUCAAGUUCAAGUUCAACAUAAAAUUCAGGCACCACUCUGCCAGAUGUAAAAGAUACCCAUUGAAAAGCACCUCAGUAUAAAAGAAAACCUUCAAAAGCAACACUAAUGGAUCGAGGGACACAGCCAAGAUUGUUCGUGAAUGGGUAAAUAAUGUAAAUAUAGUACAGAAAUUGAAACUGGCAGGGGUGCAGGUUUGGGAUUUCUUGUAUGUCUAGACUUACGGACGCAGUGUCGGUUCGGCAGUCAGUGAGUCAAAGCGAGUCCUAUUUCCAAGACUUUGUUAGGCUUGUGCUUGGUUGACCUUAAUUUUCUACCAGUAAAUGAGGGGUUGGUCUUUGUCCACCCGACUUUUUCUCAAGGUACUCUCUGUCUGGAUAUGCCUUGGUCUGCUAUCCCAGAGUCACAAUUUAUAAUUCUGAAAUGAAAUUAUCAAACCCAUAUGAUAAAGCAGUAAGGGAAGAGCACAGCUUAUUUCAAAGCUAAAAUCAUUCUUGGUAUACUGAGGAUCAAAGAUGUUUUGCGUUGGAAGAUCGGUGAUCGCUGAUUUUACAACGCAACAUCUGUUUUGCUAUACAUGUGUAUGAAAUUUCUUACUUUCACUGAGUAGGUAAUAAGAUUGUACCUUAAUCAGUUUUAUAUAUAAUGUAUUUACUUCAUUGCUCAUUAAUGUUGCCUCUAUUGUAUCUCAUAUGGUUAAAUGAUUUGUUGAUUUCUUGCAUUACAUCAAUGAAGUUGUCAUCUUGCUCACGCUGUUCCUCGAUGCGGUGGAAUCAGACACUCGUCAAUAUUUGGGCAUUUGGAGAUAUUGUUAUCAACUUAAAGCGUGCUCAUUUGUCUGUCUUUUGAUGAGAAAAAAAGUACCCAUUUGACUUGGAUAAAAGUUUUGGUGUUUACGAUUGAAGGAGGUGGGAGUCACUUGGUUUCAGCGGUAAAAUAAGCAAGAAAAUGGCCACCAAAGUUUGGUGACUUGCAAAGCUUGAGAUUCCUUGGAAACUGAAAAUUUACAUUUUGUUUGCUUUUAAUCAAUGUAUUUUUUUUAAAAAUCAACACAACAAUGUGUAUUUAAAUGAAGGUGGAAAAAAAAGAUGAUUAGUCAAAAACCAAAAAUUUGAUAAAAAUUGCUGAACUGUCUGAAAAUUUCUGUAUCUUCAAUUUCAUUAUUUUGACAAGCGCCUGAUUUCACCACACUGCCUCGCAUAUUUCUUCACGUGUACAUUCUGUGUGUGGAGAGGUUGGGCUUUCCUGAGGCCUGGUCAUGUGUAUCUAUAUCAUGAGAAGCGUUACAAGUACAGACCCUGUUGUAGAAAGUCCAGCUUGUGGAAGUUCAUCACCGGAUGUUGCUUUUGAUCUCACAAAAAUGAUUUUUGAAACUUUUCAUUCAUAUUGACACUUAUUUAAUCAUGUUAUAUGUGGUUGGGGUGGAGUGUUUUUUUUUAAUUCACUAAGUACUUUGUGUUCAAUGUGGAAUAGCUGAUCUUUUGAUUAAUAUAUUAGUCUACAAUUUAAGUACUCAGUUUUGUAUUUAAUUAUGUUUUUUAUUAAUGAAGAAAUAAUUUGUUCUCCACAUUAUGAACCUGCCCAAACCAUAAGUGUUCUGCCUGUCCUCAUCUUUUAAAGGCUCUUCUGAAUGAACAUGUCAGUGAAGAUGUCAAAAGUUAUGUCAAAUUGCUCCGACUUGAAAAUGAAACGAGACAUAAAAAAUACAUUACCCACCAAUAUAAAAACGAUCAGUGAAUGUUCCAUCUCAACAUCCCGAUAGGCCUAUGUAUUUAACAUGAAACACAUGCAAAUUGUUCAGGGUUGACAACAUUUGUGUAUACCACUUGUCACAAAAAUAGAGGAUUUAGCUUCAUAAAAUGUGCACCACAUCAUACUCACAUAGUUUAACUAAAUUUGCCGCAUCUCCCAUUUCUGAACAUUUACAUUGUAUAUUUUGCUUACACGCAUUUAUGGUUCAACAGUGGUUCGUAUAUGUUUCUCGUUAAAUAGUAGGGGCAAUGAGCAGGGAUGCCAAAUGUCUGGUUUUUCCGGGGUUUCUUCACUUGCAAAGGAAAGGGCAGAGGUAAGAGAGAAUAUGCUUUUGUUUUCUCAUUUAAAAGCUUUACAAGGUUCGGUGAGAUGUGAUGCUCCGCUCAUUUUCAGGUGUUUUUUUUUGCAAAAAUCAUUUGGCAUCCCUGAAUGAGUUAUUGAAGGAUUCAGAGAGUUAUGAACUAUUCGUAGAUGAGGUUUGGGACUUCAAGCUAUGGGAUGUGGCUUUUGGUUUCCCCACCUUCCCUACAGACGAGGGAGGAGACAGAAGACUGUUCGCUUUAGUUGGGUUUUUUUUUUUAGGUAUAUUAUAUCAACUUCUGUGAACGAAAUCUUCAAAAUUAUACAAUUUUGGGAGGUGAUUUUUUUUUUUUAUCCUUUUAGUCUUGAUCUUGAACUAAUUCUAGUAUUGUCAGAUUCUAGGAGGAGAUUUGGGCUCAUCAUCUGUUGAAGGCUGUUGCUUGCAUUCAACAAAUAAUUUCUCUAGUGAUUUCCGUUUGUUUAUCUAACAGAUUUUUACAAAGAGGUAAAAUCUGGCAAUUAAUUGUUCCUUUGAUAAUUUGCAGGAGGAAAUAACUCUCUUAAAGUAGACAAAAUAAUAUUUAGUUUGUUACAGAGUGGAGCUUUAAGAUUGUACAUAAAUCAGUUUCCUAUAUAAUGUAGACUUUCACCUAGUGCCAUGAGGUUUGAGCGUGAUCUGUCGUUGGUUUUGUUACUUCUCUUUAUGCUGACGUUUGUGCUCAUAGAAACUCGUGGCUACUAUUGAAUAGGAAAAAGUGUUUUCUGUAUCAUUGUUGUACUGUAUUGUGUGUUUUUUCAUAUGUGUAAAGUUCAUUGGCAUGGCGACUGUAUACACUGUUCCUUCCAGUAUUGACUUCAUGUUGUUGUUAGCCAAGGCUUUAACUCUCAACGUUUUAAUCUUCAACAUGUUUGUUGUAUGCAUGAUGAAGUGUUGUUAACACAUUCAGAUACCGCACUGAUUGUUGUCAUCUUGUUCCUUUUUAUUUUUGUUUGUUAAUAUCAACUAAAAGUCACUGAACUUGUAUCUUGUAAGACUUUAAGCUUUCCUUUCAAAUUAUUUUAUUUUGUCAAUCACAGCCUCGACUAGGAGCCGUCUUGGUCGUAGACUGGAGUUCAUUUUUAUGGAUCAUAAUAAUACAGAGAAAAUUCGUCUUGGUUUAAUGUGAGUCAGAUUCAUCGUACCAUCUGAUCUGACUGUAUAGGACAGACAUGCAUCUGGACUUUGUCUUGAACAACUGACAAUCAUUUUUUAAACUAGUAUUUUGUGCAAUAUUAAUUUUAAAGUAUCAUAGUUAUCCUUUCAGUAAUGGAUCCUAUCUAUGGUUGAAAUAUAGCUUAGCUCUAUCCGCGUAUAAUUUUCAUAAUCUGGUAGGUUUUUUAUUCAUUAUAAGCGAGUCAUAGAUUUUUAUUUCCUUUGAAGUGAGCAGGCAUUUGAUAAAGAAACACAUAUUUUCUCAGUAGUUUUACCAGAGAACUAAAGAAAUGAAUACAGGCCUGAAUAAGAGUCUGAAUGUUAUGCCUUCCUCUGUUUCUUUAUUUUUUCCUCUUUCAGAAGGGUUUUUUUUUUCAUUUCUGAAGGACUUCACUCUCAUUUAAAAUGGUAUUGUUUAAAAAAACAACUAUUGUAUGCAUUUUGUUAUAGGGACACAAGUCCCAGCAGAUUUUUUUAUUUAUCAGAUUGAUAUGAUUUAGAGUACUAACAUUUUUGUCACUGUUUUUCCCAAAUCAACUCUUGUUGUGGUAUGAAAAUGGGUUGUUAUGAAGCCAGGUCUAAAUACCUCAAGAGAUGGAAGUUCCUAGGUAUGACUCUUUUCCGAUCCAACGGCCAUCUGAGUUCGAGUUCUUCGGCCUGAUCGAAAUUAUGACAAAGAUAAUCUUAUUAGUUCUUAAAAGCUCAUUUCACAAGCUCGCAUCAUAUAUGGACUUAAGUGAAAUCUGUUUUUAUAUAAAUCAUGGUUCCUCCAAUAGACACUGAUGAGUGGCAAAGAGGUUACUCUGGUCAAAAGGAUGUGGCUAAUGAGAAAACUUUUUCUUUUUCAAGUUUUGGAUUUUAUUCAUUCACUUAAAAUGCAGCAGUCAGAUGUCUAAAAAGAGAAAAAUGUGUAGAAGAUUUUGUGGAUUUUACUUCGAGCAAAGUAAGUUUCAUUUUAACUUUUUAAAAGCUGUUGCAUUUCUUUUUGAGUUGUGACCCAAGUAAGUGAGGUUCAUUGAAUUGAGCUAAUCUUUUUUCCUCUAAACUAACUGACUUUUUUUCUUUUUUUUUUUUUGCUGUGUAAACUGUGAUGUUUAGAGGAAGGUUUUUUAAUUCAAUUUUUAAGAGAAUGCUCACAAAGUUUCCUUCAAUUUUAAUUUGUAAUCUGGGCUUUCAGUGUUUCCUUUUACUGUGACGAACCUGGACAUGGCGAAAUUACCCUUUCUUUUACUGCUAUCAACUUUGCCCAUUGCUGAGAAAAUGGUUUCUUACUCUGAAAAUAAUUCAUGAUAAAAUACCUUGUUGUUGCUCUUUCAUUCCUCUGCUUUCACUCUUAAGUGUUCCAUUAGUGAGGUGACAGAACAUUCCUAGAGAAAAAAUAACCUCUGCUGAAGGAGAAUGUGUAUUAUUAUCUAUGUUUCACUCCUCUGCUUUCACUCUUAAGUGUUCCAUUAGUGAGGUGACAGAACAUUCCUAGAGAAAAAAUAACCUCUGCUGAAGGAGAAUGUGUAUUAUUAUCUAUGUUUCACUCCUCUGCUUUCAUUGUGUCCUUAGCUGGGAACGCCCGCCAAGUAGAACAUGUUGUUGUGCGUCGCUUCAUUUUGUGUCUAGCAUAUUAUUAUUAUUAACAGCUGCAUCGUGUAGAUGUCAGCUUGAUGAAUUGGUUUGCUCAGUAUGUUUCGAUAUUGUCCGUUCAUGAUAACUGGAUCUCUUAUUGUUGUAAAAACAAAUGCAUUCUUGUACUUUCAAAGUUUUGUGAUAUUCAUGUAAUUUGUGUCAUUAAAAUUUUUUUUAAUUUGAAAGGCAGUAUGAAUGAGUUUCUUAAAGUAUUAAUUAUUAUUUUGUCCCCUUUUGUUCACCGCUGGGUUUAGUUGUUUUUUUUUGUUGAGUAUUGUUUGUAAAUGAUUCUACUUACCAUGUAGCUCUCUUGCGGACUGUUUAUUGUCAAUGAAUCAUUUACUUGCAGCGUAUUUUAAGUUUUCAUCAUAAUGUUUCCCGUUAUGAGGAAAAUGACAAAAAUCAGUAUUUGACCAUGUUCAGGAAAUUUAUAGAUGUUUUAUUGCACUAAGGUUAUUUUUUUUCUUUUCCAGUCAGUUAAAGAGAAGAGAAAAUAGAAAUUGCUGUGUUCAAAAUCGUGUUUUUUUUUUAAUUCAGUUUUGUUACUUUAAUGAACAUUAAGUAUUAUGUAAAUAUAUAAGUUUUACUUGUGAAUUGGUGUACUUUCAGUGUAGUAUUCUAGUCAGCAACAUAGUAUAAUGGGGGGUUCCCUCUAGAACUGUGCUACCACGUGAUUUUUUAAACACUGAAAUGACUUUUUUUAAUGCAGUCAUGUUCUGUGCAAAAUGUUUUAUUUAUGAAGAGCAUUCAUUUGUGUAUUAACUGCCUAGUCAGUUUGUUUUUUGUUGUUUUGUUUGUUUUAUAUUGGAAUAUUGCCAGUACAGGAAUGUUCAUGAGCCUUUCGUCUGUUUUAUUUUGUACGGCCAUGCUUAAAUUUUGUAAUUGAUAGAAAAUAAUAUGAUGUAAUUAAUUAUAAAUAUCUAAAUGUUUGUGCAAAGCGACAGGGGUGAGAUUUGAGGAGGGGUGUUAGAUGUAGAGACUGCAAUUUGGUUUUGUGUUCAAUUUAUCGCUCUGACCGUGCAUUUUUGUGCCAGAUGAGCUAGCCAUGGAUGAGCUAUGGUUAGAUCGCAGCUUGGCAAAUGAUGUCCUUUUUUUUAAAAAUAAGACAUUUAUUUGCUCUCCUGAACCAUCAGAAAAUAAUCUUCAAACUUUGAAGCAUAAUUCAUGUGUAUCAUUUAUACAUGUAUACAUGUGUCACAACGCGGUGAAAUCAGACACUUGUCAAUUUUUUGGCAUAUGAAGUUAUUGGUAUACUCUUAAAGCCUGUAAAUUUUUCUUUCUUUCGAUGAAAAAAAAGUAUCCGUCUUUCUUACAUAUAAGUCUAGAUAUUUGAGGUUGAUAUGGAUGGGAGGGUUUACCGGUGUCAGAGGUAAAAUUAGCGGGGAAAAUGACCACCAAAGUUGUACUGCAGUGAGCUGACAAAACUCCUUUUUUUCAUUUUGGCACCCUCAUUUUUUAUUUGCUAAAUUGAAAGUCUGAUCGGUUACCCUACUUGUGUGAAAAAAUCAAAGUGAAACUGACUAGGUUUUUAAAUAAAUUUGAAUUCACAAUUUCGGGAGGACUCUAUUUUGCAGUGGUUACGCUGACAAAAAACUUCUUUUUCUCGAAACUACCGUGAAUAAAAAAGACGUUUUGUCAGCUUACAGCAGAGUAGUAUGGUUGGAAAGAGAAAAUUUAUAUAAUGAGUGCCUUAAAGUUUUUUAGUAAAAUUCACACAGAAAUAAAUGUAUCUCUAAACGGACAUAAAAGGUGUUGAGCUUAAAAAAAACAACAACAACAAAAUCAAUAAAUAUUGCACAAUGAGCGGGAAAAUGUCCGUUUCUUCAAUUUCAUUAUUUUAACGAGCGUCUGAUUUCACCACGAUGCCUCACAUUUAUGUACUUCUUCACUUUUACUUUUGCUGCAGAUUAAAGAUACACUGACUUUUCAGAGCAAAAUACGCUCUUCCAUUAUUGAUAUAUAUAUAUUAUUAGUGUUCAUGUAUACCCUCGGGUCUUACACACUAUGGAUAGCAGACAGCUAGCUGUGUGAAUAUGGCCAUAGUUGAGCCUUGCCAGAUAAUACUUAACGUUAAUUGUGUCAAAAUUUGUUUUCAGUCUUGACAGAAUAACCCUUUUAAAUUGUAUGCCCUUCGAAAGAUUUAACAAUUACACCUUCAUUGAACAUAGGGGUUUUCCUUUUAAACUAAAGGGCUGGUAAACCUAGCACGAGCAUAUUUCAUGGUUUCAUCGCCUUGUAAGGCUGGUGCAGAUGGGUCUUUCCAUGUCAAGUUGAAGUAAGGAUAGAGAUUUUUAGAAAUGUUCAAAGGGUUAAGUUUAUAAGAUACUCUUGAUAAGGGACAUUUUGGAAGAAAAGUGAAGCUUCCGAAAUGUACCCCAAGCUCUAUUUGAAUUAUGGUGCCUGGCGUUUGUGUUCUCAUAGCAGAAAUAUGCGUUGCUCUGUAUGGGGGUGGAAUGUAGCAAUGUUGUUGUGACAUUACUUGUCUUUAUUAUUAUUUCUUUUGAUUUUCAACUUCUGAUAAUUUUUUUGUAGUUGACAUUUUGUUAAUAUGGUGUAGCAUAUUUGGUUUUUUUGUGUCUUUUUAUUCACAUAGUUUUGUAACCAGUAUGGUUUUGACAUCAAAUGCAGAAGAAACAGAAACGCAUGUACCAUUGCAUAAGUGAUUUUAUUGAAGCUCGCUCAGUAUAUGUUUGUAAAUUUUGUCUAUUUUUGUGUACUAUGUUUGCUUUCACUACAUCCGAUCUUGACUCAACUAACAUACAGGCAUAAUCACGCUGUUCAGUAUUUGUUUCCAAAUUGGUAAUUUAAAUUAGCUAAACGUUUGAACAUUUGACCAAAUACGUGUAGUCUUUGAUAAGUCUUUAUUUAUUGAGUUUGAAGUGGGAACACAGUUUUGCCUUUGCUUUACCUGUUGUUUUGUGCCUCACUAUGUUCAAAAUAAAAUGUGUAGUGCUGUACAUGUAGCC
Molecule: unclassified non-coding RNA, 13932 nt
Filed under: Aplysia californica (California sea hare)
Lineage: Eukaryota; Metazoa; Mollusca; Gastropoda; Aplysiida; Aplysiidae
Description: uncharacterized LOC101853126, transcript variant X1
Source: RNAcentral